UGACUCUGGUUUCUCUUCAUUACGCACAAGCCUUUCGCCUUUUACUAAAGACUUCCGUGGAGAGGAAACAAUUACGAGUUCCACGUAUUUUUGGAGCGUCUUUCUUCUUGCAGAGCC
This 117-nucleotide small nuclear RNA is filed under the name Oncorhynchus mykiss (rainbow trout). RNAcentral describes it as "U5 spliceosomal RNA (ENSOMYG00000048262.1)". It matches the Rfam family "U5 spliceosomal RNA". Rfam says of the family: U5 RNA is a component of both types of known spliceosome. The precise function of this molecule is unknown, though it is known that the 5' loop is required for splice site selection and p220 binding, and that both the 3' stem-loop and the Sm site are important for Sm protein binding and cap methylation. Lineage: Eukaryota; Metazoa; Chordata; Actinopteri; Salmoniformes; Salmonidae. The record is from RNAcentral.